This 512-nucleotide ribosomal RNA is filed under the name uncultured bacterium. Its description in RNAcentral is "partial 16S ribosomal RNA". The record is from RNAcentral.
GGAGUUAGCCGGUGCUUCUUCUGCGAGUAACGUCACAGCUAGCAGGUAUUAACUACUAACCUUUCCUCCUCGCUGAAAGUGCUUUACAACCCGAAGGCCUUCUUCACACACGCGGCAUGGCUGCAUCAGGGUUUCCCCCAUUGUGCAAUAUUCCCCACUGCUGCCUCCCGUAGGAGUCUGGGCCGUGUCUCAGUCCCAGUGUGGCUGAUCAUCCUCUCAGACCAGCUAGGGAUCGUUGCCUAGGUGAGCCAUUACCUCACCUACUAGCUAAUCCCACCUGGGCUUAUCCAUCAGCGCAAGGACCGAAGUUCCCCUGCUUUCCCCCGUAGGGCCGUAUGCGGUAUUACGCAGUCGUUUCCAACUGUUAUCCCCACAAAUGGGCAAAUUCCCAGGCAUUACUCACCCGUCCGCCGCUCGUCAUCUUCAAAAGCAAGCUUUUGAAAUGUUACCGCUCGACUUGCAUGUGUUAGGCCUGCCGCCAGCGUUCAAUCUGAGCCAUGAUCAAACUCUGA